AAAUUUCAACCGCUCAGCGUCGCCGUCGCGUUAAUUCGGUAUGCGCCAUACAAAUUGUAUGGACAUGAGAAUUUUUUGACAGUCAUUUGCCGCUGACGCUUUUAAAUCGUCCGAAUCGGUGAAAUGCAAUAGUGCCAAACUUUUAAAAUUAACUAUUUUAAUCUAUGAUCCAGAAAUGUGUGAUACAUAUAAUGAAUUACUGUGGGAACAAAAUAAGAGGCAAUCACGUUUUUUGUCGGUUUUCCUCAAAAAUUUCAUAAAAAAAUGUACGAAAAAAUAAACAUAUACAUUUUUUAAAUAUCGCGAAGGAUUCACUCGUAAUCCAAAUAUCACGAUAAAUAUUGAACGUGUAAGGCGCCUGCUACACCAUUGUGAUUCAUGCGAAUAAAGAUAACAUGAAAUCUGAAUUUUGAAAUAUAUUUUGAAACUGUAUAAUAUGGUAACCAUUAUUUAAAUAUUGUAUACUAGAUGUCGCCCUUAUUAUAAAUUAAAACAUCGCCCAACAUCGCUUAGCAUGAGUUCGAUGAGCUCGCUUCCUGAUAUUUCAACAGAGAAUCACUUUUGAUUUUUCCAUCUGGAUGAGUACACGUGCCAAAGAAUUUAGUUGUAAUUGCAGAGGCAGUAUAGGAAAUUGGAACUGGACAAUGGAUAAAGUUGAUUUUGUGUGGGGUAAUACCUGACUAUUCGAAUUCUUUAAAGAGCAACUCUGGGAAACUUAUUGAAUAUUUUAACUGGAAGUUACAAUGUUUUCUACAGCGAAAUAUUAAAUUUAUAAUCUGCGCUUUUAGAGAAAAAUGAUGAAAAUGCGAUUCUCUCAUGAUUGGAUGUGUGACAAGUCCCGCAAUGAUGGGAUUCAAAUUCACUAUGAGAGAUGCGAUCACAUGGUUCACAUUCUUCCAGACGUUACACGUAUGUCCUUAUACAAGCCUCUAAAAAAUGGAUAUGUUGCAGUAUCUUAGAUUGUCUAAAUUUAUCAUUUGAUUAUCUGUGUAUGAAUAAAACUGUAUUGCAUUUAAUAAAAAACCAAUAUAUGUAAACUAA
Long non-coding RNA from Zeugodacus cucurbitae (melon fly), 1041 nucleotides. RefSeq lists it as uncharacterized. The transcript has 6 exons. Lineage: Eukaryota; Metazoa; Arthropoda; Insecta; Diptera; Tephritidae. The record is from RefSeq and is a predicted model, not a curated record.